GAUGAAGAACGCAGCGAAAUGCGAUAAGUAAUGUGAAUUGCAGAAUUCAGUGAAUCAUCGAAUCUUUGAACGCACAUUGCGCCCGCCAGUAUUCUGGCGGGCAUGCCUGUUCGAGCGUCAUUACAACCCUCAGGCCCCCGGGCCUGGCGUUGGGGAUCGGCGGAAGCCCCCUGCGGGCACAACGCCGUCCCCCAAAUACAGUGGCGGUCCCGCCGCAGCUUCCAUUGCGUAGUAGCUAACACCUCGUAACUGGAGAGCGGCGCGGCCACGCCGUAAAACACCCAACUUCUGAAUGUUGACCUCGAAUCAGGUAGGAAUACCCGCUGAACUUAAGCAUAUCAAUAAGCGGAGGA
RNAcentral lists this unclassified non-coding RNA (353 nucleotides) under soil metagenome. RNAcentral describes it as "partial contains 5.8S ribosomal RNA, internal transcribed spacer 2, and large subunit ribosomal RNA". The stretch from base 1 to 120 matches the Rfam family "5.8S ribosomal RNA", at positions 35 to 154 of the family's 154-position model. The record is from RNAcentral.